GACGAACGCUGGCGGCGUGCCUAAUACAUGCAAGUAGAACGCACAGUUUAUACCGUAGCUUGCUACACCAUAGACUGUGAGUUGCGAACGGGUGAGUAACGCGUAGGUAACCUGCCUGGUAGCGGGGGAUAACUAUUGGAAACGAUAGCUAAUACCGCAUAAUAUUAAUUAUUGCAUGAUAAUUAAUUGAAAGGUGCAAUUGCACCACUACCAGAUGGACCUGCGUUGUAUUAGCUAGUAGGUGAGGUAACGGCUCACCUAGGCGACGAUACAUAGCCGACCUGAGAGGGGGAUCGGCCACACUGGGACUGGGACACGGCCCAGACUCCUACGGGAGGCAGCAGUAGGGAAUCUUCGGCAAUGGACGAAAGUCUGACCGAGCAACGCCGCGUGAGUGAAGAAGGUUUUCGGAUCGUAAAGCUCUGUUGUAAGAGAAGAACGGGUGUGAGAGUGGAAAGUUCACACUGUGACGGUAUCUUACCAGAAAGGGACGGCUAACUACGUG
Molecule: ribosomal RNA, 505 nt
Filed under: uncultured bacterium
Lineage: Bacteria
Description: partial 16S ribosomal RNA
Rfam family: Bacterial small subunit ribosomal RNA
Source: RNAcentral